ACUCCUACGGGAGGCAGCAGUGGGGAAUAUUGCACAAUGGGGGAAACCCUGAUGCAGCCAUGCCGCGUGUGUGAAGAAGGCCUUGGGUUGUAAAGCACUUUCAGUAGGGAGGAAGGUAGUGUAGUUAACACCUGCACUAUUUGUACGUUACCUACAGAAGAAGCACCGGCUAACUCCGUGCCAGCAGCCGCGGUAAUACGGAGGGUGCGAGCGUUAAUCGGAAUUACUGGGCGUAAAGCGCAUGCAGGCGGCCUGUUAAGUCAGAUGUGAAAGCCCGGGGCUUAACCUCGGAAUUGCAUUUGAAACUGGCAGGCUAGAGUCUUGUAGAGGGGUUAG
RNAcentral lists this ribosomal RNA (336 nucleotides) under uncultured bacterium. RNAcentral's name for it is "bacterial SSU rRNA". It matches the Rfam family "Bacterial small subunit ribosomal RNA", at positions 335 to 663 of the family's 1533-position model. The record is from RNAcentral.